RNAcentral lists this transfer RNA (68 nucleotides) under Isoptena serricornis. RNAcentral describes it as "tRNA-Trp". It matches the Rfam family "tRNA". From Rfam's summary of the family: Transfer RNA (tRNA) molecules are approximately 80 nucleotides in length. Their secondary structure includes four short double-helical elements and three loops (D, anti-codon, and T loops). Lineage: Eukaryota; Metazoa; Arthropoda; Insecta; Plecoptera; Chloroperlidae. The record is from RNAcentral.
AAGGCCUUAAGUUAAAUAAACUAAUAGCCUUCAAAGUUAUAAAUAAAGAUCAAUUUCUUUAGGCCUUA